GCUAUAAUAGUUUAAAUAAAACUUUGGUCUUGUAAACCAAAAUUAGAUCUCUAUAUCUUUAUAGUU
Molecule: transfer RNA, 66 nt
Filed under: Watasenia scintillans (sparkling enope)
Lineage: Eukaryota; Metazoa; Mollusca; Cephalopoda; Oegopsida; Enoploteuthidae
Description: tRNA-Thr
Rfam family: tRNA
About the family: Transfer RNA (tRNA) molecules are approximately 80 nucleotides in length. Their secondary structure includes four short double-helical elements and three loops (D, anti-codon, and T loops).
Source: RNAcentral